This 305-nucleotide ribosomal RNA is filed under the name uncultured bacterium. Its description in RNAcentral is "bacterial SSU rRNA". It matches the Rfam family "Bacterial small subunit ribosomal RNA", at positions 333 to 630 of the family's 1533-position model. The record is from RNAcentral.
UCAUGCCUACGGGGCGCAGCAGUAGGGAAUCUUCCACAAUGGGCGAAAGCCUGAUGGAGCAACGCCGCGUGGGUGAAGAAGGUCUUCGGAUCGUAAAACCCUGUUGAUAGAGAAGAAAGUGCGUGAGAGUAACUGUUCACAUUUCGACGGUAUCUAACCAGAAAGCCACGGCUAACUACGUGCCAGCAGCCACGGUAAUACGUAGGUGGCAAGCGUUAUCCGGAUUUAUUGGGCGUAACGGGAACGCAGGCGGUCUUUUAAGUCUGAUGGGAAAGCCUUCGGCUUAACCGGAGUAGUGCAUUGGA